This is a long non-coding RNA of Leptinotarsa decemlineata (Colorado potato beetle), 364 nucleotides long. The record is from RefSeq and is a predicted model, not a curated record. Lineage: Eukaryota; Metazoa; Arthropoda; Insecta; Coleoptera; Chrysomelidae.
AACUGUAACGUAUUUUAUCAAAAUUCAGACAUCCUUUACUAAUUUCAUGUAAAUGUAUUUUACCAACAACAUCGUUUGAAACAUUCUGAACAAAGCUAUUAUUUGUUGCUGAAGAGCUGACAUUGGAUGUCCACCAGUCAGGAUGACAGUGUUAUAUGAAAUGCUGUAUCUGGAGCUCCUAGUAUUAAUGGAACCAGUCAAUUUCCAAAAUCACUAAUUAUAAUGAGUGUAACUAUGAAAAAAGUAUAACAAAAGCAUAAGCAGUGACAUCAACAUUAUGAAUUGGAUAAUUGCCAAUUGAAGUUCCCGGAUUACUUAAUUCUGCUCGAAUUCAAAUUCCUAAUGAGGUUUCCAAUAUACCAAC